Molecule: ribosomal RNA, 485 nt
Filed under: uncultured bacterium
Lineage: Bacteria
Description: partial 16S ribosomal RNA
Rfam family: Bacterial small subunit ribosomal RNA
Source: RNAcentral
GACGAACGCUGGCGGCGUUCUUAACACAUGCAAGUCGAACGGUGAAAGCGGAGCUUGCUCCGCUGGAUCAGUGGCGAACGGGUGAGUAACACGUGGGCAACCUGCCCCUCACUUCGGGAUAACUCCGGGAAACCGGGGCUAAUACCGGAUAUGACCUCCUUGGGCAUCCUUGGAGGUGGAAAGUUUUUCGGUGAGGGAUGGGCCCGCAGCCUAUCAGCUUGUUGGUGAGGUAGUGGCUCACCAAGGCGACGACGGGUAGCCGGCCUGAGAGGGCGACCGGCCACACUGGGACUGAGACACGGCCCAGACUCCUACGGGAGGCAGCAGUGGGGAAUAUUGCGCAAUGGGAGAAAGCCUGACGCAGCAACGCCGCGUGCGGGAUGACGGCCUUCGGGUUGUAAACCGCUUUCAGCAGGGAAGAAGCCGCAAGGUGACGGUACCUGCAGAAGAAGCACCGGCUAACUACGUGCCAGCCGCCGCGGUAA